CCACGACGCCGUGCUCCACUGUCGCCUGCAACGCCCGCCGCCCCCCACCACCCUCCCUCCCUCAACGCGGUCGCGGAUCCCCAGACGACGCGCCCUCGCGACCUCUUGCCACCCCCAGCCGCCUCGCUCAAUCUCUCCAUACGACAAGCAAGAUAAGUUUUUUCUACCGGUGCCCCAAGAUUACUAAGCGGCGGCGCUCGAUUCGUGGCCGAUGGGGCUAGAUCCGACGACAGCGAAGGAGAAGGCGGCUGGAAGCGUAAGAGAAGGAGGCCGGCUCCCUCCUGCCGGCCGUCGACCGCUCCCCUGGACGCGGAGCUUCGCCUCCCCACUGCCGAGGUCCGGAGUUGGACAGCGAAGGACGAGCAGCAACUUAUCCCCUGUUUGGCCCGUGGCUGCCGACCGCGACACGCGCUCCAAGGCAGGCUGUUGAUGCGGCGCUCGACUGGCUCUGGCUGCUGCCGCAGGCUGCAGGCGCCGGGGGUACGAGGUGGAGAACUGGAGGCGCUGCACGAGAUCUACAAGAAGGUCAGCUUCUCCAUCAUAAAAUUACUCAGCGCCCAAGGCAGGUAGUGAAUGGUACCUGGGCUAUCCUACCUGGACGCCAUCCUCCUUGGAGCGAUAGGAGGGUGAGUGAAAUCAUCUGCUAAUACUCAUCUGCAUUUGCCUGUAUUGCAUUUGCUUGGGUAAGAAUCAUUGAUCUGCACCUCAAGCCUGAGACUAGGUUGCUCUGUAUCAGUGUUAGGCUUGGCGUGUUUGCCAAUCUGCGGCCAGCACUAAUAUUCGUGCUUCAGAUAACUACCUUGCUAUAUGGCUUAAGUUGCAUCCAAGGUCUUGUAUCAAUGGCAUCAGAGUGUCCCUUUGCCUGGUGGUUAGGUUCAGAUUUAGCUGUAUGUGUUGAGUAGUUUUACUGAUCUAAGGGAUAAUUGAAUGAGCAACUCCUGCUCCACUAUGCUAGGUUUCAUGAUGUCGGCCUAGUAAUCUUCAUUUGCAGGAGUUAAAGAUCUCAGUAUCCCUGUUGCUGUCACAAUUUUUACUGCAUGUUACUCCACAACACCUGAAACUUGUCUGAAGUUGCUCAUGACAAUACUUUAGCAUCAGUAGUUGCUACUGCUUAAUUGUAUCAGUAUAACUUGUUAAGGAAACCGUAACCUUGUGAACCAUUUGGAAUGCUCCCAUAAUCUUGCUCAACUGCCGUUGCUACAAGUAACAAGAUUAAGGUGUAGGAGAAAAAGAUGAAGAAGCAAGUGCAAACUUAUCUAUAUUUUCCAUGUGUUUCUUAGUGCCAGACUUUGCCAGUUAGUACUCGAAUUUUACCUAGUGAUGACAGGCUACCAAUGCCUGCUUGUAUGACUUGAGUUAUUUCUUGAAUUUCUGUGCUAGACUAUGGCUAGAGCUAUGACUGUAGCAUAAUGGUUCAGAAUUAGAACGUGGAAGUCUGAAACAUACAUUUCAGUUCAAUCUGGGAAGACCGAUUCUAAAUAUAGGAAGGUACCGAUUCAAAAUAUACAUACUUGCCUACUUGGUGAGGCCUGCCUAACUAGUUUAUUGCAAUAGCCGUGGUGGAAACUGGAGAAGUGGCUCGGUGCUGAUAUGAGCGGGGAGAAGAGACGGAGCACGCUCUGCCAUAGUAGGGGAGAUAGAGCCUUGUGACCCCGAUGAACCACGGGCAUGUGAUGCUAGAUGCAAUGGUGGCUUGAUGACUACACCAUACUGAUCUGAUUGGUGGUGCUGCUCUUUGUUUAGCUGCUGCUCUCUGUGCGAGGAGCACCUAGACAUCGAGGUGAUGGGUGAGGAAGACCCUGGGCGCCGAUGGUCGACGAAGAGGCGAGGGCCACCUGGGCGAGGGGAUCUCAUCCUCCAGGAUCACCUGGGCGAGGAGCUACAUGGGCCGGAGAUCCAGGAGCACUUGGGCGGCUGGAGAUCUUCCUCCAGGAGCACUUGGGCGAGGAGCUGCCUGGGUCGGAGGUGUAGGGACGGAGGAGUAGUUGGGGCCGGAGGAGGAGCUGCUGAGGCUGGAGGUGGUACCGCCGGCGAGGGUGAGGGCGGAGGAGGCGGAGGGC
Long non-coding RNA from Lolium perenne, 2060 nucleotides. RefSeq lists it as uncharacterized. Lineage: Eukaryota; Viridiplantae; Streptophyta; Magnoliopsida; Poales; Poaceae. The record is from RefSeq and is a predicted model, not a curated record.